UACGUAGGUGACAAGCGUUGUCCGGAUUUACUGGGCGUAAAGAGCGCGCAGGCGGUCGUUUAAGUCGAGUGUGAAAGCCCCCGGCUCAACUGGGGAGGGUCACUCGAUACUGAUCGACUCGAAGGCAGGAGAGGGUAGUGGAAUUCCCGGUGUAGUGGUGAAAUGCGUAGAUAUCGGGAGGAACACCAGUGGCGAAGGCGACUACCUGGCCUGUUUCUUGACGCUGAGGCGCGAAAGCUAGGGGAGCAAACGGG
RNAcentral lists this ribosomal RNA (254 nucleotides) under uncultured bacterium. RNAcentral's name for it is "partial 16S ribosomal RNA". It matches the Rfam family "Bacterial small subunit ribosomal RNA", at positions 524 to 776 of the family's 1533-position model. The record is from RNAcentral.